UUCUUAAUAAGCAUGUGUAGUCGUUUGGUUCUGUUCUUUCUCUCUCUGGAUCAAAGUAGUAAACUUUUGCUUCGGAUUUAAGUUUAACCCAUCUCUCACCUUCCCUUGCAAUCAAAUCUCCAACCAAAUUAAUCUCUCUGGGCAAUUCUCACUCUUAUUCUCCGACAGAGAACAGUCUCGACCUUCGUCUUAAGUUGAGCCUAGGUCGAUAGGGCUUCUCACGCUGAUGAUUCUUCUUCUUGUUCAUCGUCAUCACCUUCUGCUUUUGUGGCUUUUGUGUGAUCUAAUAUAUCUAUCGUGGCUUCAUCUCUCCUAUUUUUAAGCAAAUAAGUAACCUUCCAUCUUCUCUUUCUUACUCCAUCUAUUGUAGUCUGAUCUGUUGAUUGUGUAGUUCUGUAGUUCUGUUCUGCUUUGGUGUUUAAUUCCUCUUUGCAAGCAAGUAAUAUUCUAUUGGAAACUUGAGAGUUUGGGUUUGUAAAGUUCUUGCGAUCGUCAUUGUUACUUUAAUUUUCUAAUUACUCUGUCAAAGGUCAGAACUUUGCUUCAACCCUUUAAGCGACCACUAUUCUGUGAGUUUAGACUUUUAAAUGUUACUAGACUUCUGUACUUAUACUUCCUGUAUUCAAAUGUACAAGCGAGAUAUGAUGCUUGUCUUUUGAUAUGGACCGUGCAGGAGUAUGAUGUCGAGGAUUCAAUACCGCUGGUCCAGCCAUCCCUAUGUUACACUGCACCUGAAUUUGUGCGCAGCAAAAGUCCUUCAGCUGGAGCUUCGUCAGACAGUUUCAGUUUUGGAUGCAUUGCCUAUCAUUUGGUUGCUAGGAAACCAUUGUUGGAUUGCAAUAACAAUGUCAAGAUGGAUAGGAAUGACUUUGAGUUGACAACACUGCCCGCUCUUGUUCCUCUUCUGAGUACUGAAAGCUUUGAAAGCUUCCAUAUUGAUGUUAGACUGGCUUCUCUAUGUUUCCGAAUACCAGUUCUAAAUAUGCAUUGAAAUCACUUUUCUUUUUGUUUUCUAUUGCAUACAGGGUAAGAUCCUUGCUUGACUUAUAUUUUUAUGUAAUUUUUCAGACUGAUAGCGAGCAUCUUGUAUCGCAUGUUCUCCCUUUGCUUCUCCGAGCCUACAAUGAUAACGAUGUCCGCAUACAGGAGGAAGUUCUUAAAAGAUCAACAUCUGUCGCUAAGCAACUCGAUGGUCAGGUUGUGAAGAUUCAUAAUAGAGAUCACAGUGGAGGAAAAGAUUCUGAAGCUUCAAAAGAAGAAGGAACUUGUGUUUGAAGGGACCGUUGGUGGUUCUCAGGAGGCUAUAGGAAAGUUGACAGCGGAAGAUAUGUCUUGUACUCGCUUGUGUUGUUGUAAUGAAGUGUCACGGACUUUGUAUGUUUUUGUAACUACUAGUAUUCACAUGUCUUAGAAACUUGUAUAAAUGAAACUAGUAUUCACAAGUUCUCAAGUUACUUCUUCCUUCUCAA
Molecule: RNA transcript, 1469 nt
Organism: Brassica napus (rape)
Lineage: Eukaryota; Viridiplantae; Streptophyta; Magnoliopsida; Brassicales; Brassicaceae
Gene name: SCY1-like protein 2 A
Exons: 4
Source: RefSeq, a predicted model, not a curated record